GACGAACGCUGGCGGCGUGCUUAACACAUGCAAGUCGAACGGAAAGGUCAUGCUUUUGUGGGGUGCUCGAGUGGCGAACGGGUGAGUAACACGUGAGUAACCUGCCCCUGACUUUGGGAUAACUUCAGGAAACUGGGGCGAAUAUCGGAUAGGAGCUCCUGCUGCAUGGGGGGGGUUGGUAAGUUUCGGCGGUUGGGGAUGGACUCGCGGCUUAUCAGCUUGUUGGUGUGGUAGUGGCUUACCAAGGCUUUGACGGGUAGCCGGCCUGAGAGGGUGACCGGCCACAUUGGGACUGAGAGACGGACCAGACUGCUACGGGACGCAGCAGUGGGGAAUAUUGCACAAUGGGCGGAAGCCUGAUGCAGCAACGCCGCGUGCGGGAUGACGGCCUUCGGGUUGUAAACCGCUUUCGCCUGUGACGAAGCGUGAGUGACGGUAAUGGGUAAAGAAGCACCGGCUAACUACGUG
Molecule: ribosomal RNA, 468 nt
Filed under: uncultured bacterium
Lineage: Bacteria
Description: partial 16S ribosomal RNA
Rfam family: Bacterial small subunit ribosomal RNA
Source: RNAcentral